RNAcentral lists this ribosomal RNA (432 nucleotides) under Glyptophysa sp. 2 PGA-2018. RNAcentral's name for it is "partial large subunit ribosomal RNA". Lineage: Eukaryota; Metazoa; Mollusca; Gastropoda; Planorbidae. The record is from RNAcentral.
AGUUUAAAGUUAAAUUAUUUUAAAUGUAUCCUGCCCAGUGUUUUUUAAUAAAUGGCCGCAGUACCCUGACUGUGCAAAGGUAGCAUAAUCAAUUGGCUUUUAAUUAAAGUCUGGAAUGAAUGGAUUUAUGAAAAAAAGCUGUCUUAAAAAUAUUAUAUUUAAGUUAAUUAUUAGGUGAAAAUACCUAUUUAAAGAAAAAAGACGAGAAGACCCUUAGAAUUUUUUUAAUAUACAUGUUAAGUAUUUUAUUUUGUUGGGGCGACAAUUAAGCAUUUUAACCUUAAGUUUUUUAUAAAACGAAAUUGUUAUAAAAGAUUAAAUUACCUUAGGGAUAACAGCAUUAUUUAAAAAAGUUUGUGACCUCGAUGUUGGACUAGGAACUUAAAGAUAAGCCAUCUUAAAAGAUUUGUUCUGUUCGAACAAUUUUAUCCU